CGGCCACAUCACGUGUUGAAACACCGGUUCUCGUACGAUCAUCAAAGUUAAGCAACUUCGAGCCUGGUCAGCACCUAGAUGAGUUACUGCUUGGGAAAUACAAGGUGCUGUAAG
Non-coding RNA from Acanthosepion pharaonis, 114 nucleotides. The record is from the annotation of a GenBank genome assembly. Lineage: Eukaryota; Metazoa; Mollusca; Cephalopoda; Sepiida; Sepiidae.